CUUAUGAAGAGUGGUUGAGGGACGGGCCCGAUGAAACCCGCCAACCUGCGUAAGCGAGGUGGCAAUUCCCGCAGCGUGCAACGCUGGCAGAUAAGG
This 96-nucleotide non-coding RNA is filed under the name pig gut metagenome. Its description in RNAcentral is "SAM riboswitch (S box leader)". It matches the Rfam family "SAM riboswitch aptamer (S box leader)". From Rfam's summary of the family: The SAM riboswitch is found upstream of a number of genes which code for proteins involved in methionine or cysteine biosynthesis in Gram-positive bacteria. The record is from RNAcentral.